ACUGCCCCUCAUCCAAGGUAGGACCUUCUUGUUGUACACCAGAUGAUCAUCAGUUUUGAUGCCUCUUUUGCCAGGUUGAACAGUUCACAGAGCCUCCCUUUCCUUCAUCUUCAACUACAGAUGCGUGUCAGCAGAUUCUAUAGAUGAUUCUAAGUACUGAAGUGUUGAGUAGAUAACCCAUCCUCAUGUGCCAACUGAAAUCACUGGAUACUAUAUUGAAGUGUCCUACUCAUUUUGAAAUGUGCAACUAUAGAAGCCACGGACCCGGUACAUGGAUAGGAAGAGCACCUAUAGAACCAAAAUAGAUAGAUACAGAAUGAGAAAGUAUUUUACUUCUACACUUUUGUAUACAAGUAGCACUAAAAAAUAUGCUAAUAUGCAGUACACAAGUAGCACCAUCCGCACAUGAUAUUUUUACUACUCUAUUUGAUAAAUAGAAUAAUCUCAAUAUACAUAUGACAGAGAUUAGUAUGACUCAAAGACAUAUAUUUGAUAACAUGUUACAUUGAUAUGUAAUAGGUUGAAAUAAACAUGACAUGUUACAAGAGACAAUUUUCAAUAAGCCAACAUAUAUACAGGCUAUUAUUCCUCCUAAGAUAGCACAGGGACACAAGAAUUUGAAUGGUAAAAACAGAAGAUACUUGUUCUGAAAUGUGCCUAUAGUGAUGUGGGAACAUGAGAUAACUAAAGGUAGUUCAGAGUAUAUGCAUUCAGUCAUUUCACUCCACACAACUGUAAUGAAGACAAGAUCUAAAUCCUUCAGGGUAGUAGCGCUAAAAUGUGUUCCUAAUAAUGAUCCAAUCCCCAGGGUUACUUAAUACCAACAUAAGAAAAAGACAUGUUUUGGAUCAUCAGUUCAAAAAGGUUUUGGUCAGAAAUCACAAUGCACUCUAACCACAUUUCCAUGUGCGCGUGCAGUAGGGGGGAGAGGGGGUUUCAUUGUCAGUAGUAGCUUCGCAAGGAUUUAAGUACAUUUCUAAUCUCUAAAAGUAAAGCUAUUUAGGCAGGGUAGUCACUCAAUGAGUUCUAUAGCUGUCCAAAUAGUAACAAUAAUAGUAACAAUAAUGUUCUUUCUUUUUUAAUGCCUUUUAGUCAUUAAAUCAUAUUCAUAGUAUGCCAAAAAAUAACAUUUUUGACACAAAAAAUUAUACACAUCAUUGUGGAGGAAUUCAGACCUAUAUUUAUGUACAUACAAAUCUAACUAUGCAUAUACAAUAAACGACAAUAUUAAAGAAAAGCAACAAUCUAUUAGAAGCGAAAGAAUGGUUGCACAAAUCGGAGUGGAAAUAGGCAGUCAGCUAGGAAAAAAACAGAGCAAGGCUGAACCAAUAACUACAAGAGCAUGCAUAACAUUGACUGAACAACUUGAUCCCACAUCACAUGUUGUACGUAAUUAGAGCAAUUGAGCAAGUUGGAAGAUGUUGUACCUAGGCAGAAUUGGGCUCUUAGCACAUGUCCUAGCCUCUGCAAUUGACUGGAUGACUGUACCAGAGGCUGUGAGGGGGGAAACAAUUUUUCAAUGACAAUAUGCAUGAACCAGAUGUAUCAAAGCAGCAAGACGCGGAACUUACAAUUAAUAACGUGGCUUCUGCUGACACUGCUCUGUUCACAUCAGCUAAGAAGCUCCAAUACUGGACAGGUAAUGAACUUUUUAUCCUAGCUUAGCCUGAAAAUGGACAACACUAAAUUAGGAGAUGCACAUGAACUAAUUUCUCAGAAAGAUAAAAGCAACGAAUUUUAAACUUUGAGUGAUGCAAAUAGGACAAAGGAUGACCAUACGCGUGCAAAUAUGAUUCAGCAAACGAAAACACAGAGGUGGGUCUUAAACGUGAACAACAUUAUGAAGUACCCAUUACUAAUUCCAAAGAUCACGGGUUGACAUCUUGUGAAUCAAAGAAUUGAGAAUACUUACAACAAAGCCAUAGGUUCCCUUCAGAUUUACUUGCUGCAAUCUGGGGAGUGAUUGACAGAAGCAGUAAUGCCAUGAAGACUCAAGUAAUGAAAAUACAUAUCCAGUAAUAAAAUUACACACCACUUCAUCAUAAGUACUAUUUUGAUAAAAUCAAUGAGAACAUUUUGAAAAUAAUUUCUAAAACCUACUCAAAACUUUGGAGCAACAAAACUAAUUUCAUUGAUAUCACACUCCAACCAUGGCACUGAUUUAGGUUGACAUCCCCCAAUACCCAACAAGAUUAUCCCAUCAAAAUUCAUAAGGGACUUGGAAUGUUAUGGAAAACUGACAAUAAAAAAUGGAAACUAAAGACCAAGUAGUAGUGCAACCUACCCGAUCACACCAUCAAGCAAUGCGGCCGCAUUAAAAAGAAAGAAAUACACAAUACUAAUAGUGUUAUGUGUUUGAAAUUGAAAUUGAAAGCUCAAGUUAGCUAAAUUUCAUGAAGAUCACACGAGAUAAGACACAAAGUAACUCAUGAAUCAUUAUCAAGUAGGUUCUUGAUUCACUAUGCCCACAAAAAAAAUCAGAGAAAUAAUCAGAAGUUCUAUGGAAACAAUAUAUCUAGUAUUUCUCAUUUAUGAUUGAAAAUGAUCUUGAAGACUGAAAUUCCUUGACCUCCUUUAAAAGAAUGAAGCAAACAUUGUUUUAACCAUACAGAACAUCCAGACAUCUGCAGUUCGCCUAUAGGAUAGGUUUGGAUUAUUCGGAUUACCUAAACUGCAGACACCAAUGGAUAUAACAAAUAUGUUGAUGAGAAAAUCCAUAAGGAGAAUUAGAGCUUACUUUAAUUCCAUGAUCCAACUUUGGCACUUACCUUGAUAAAUGCAGGAGAGCUGCAACGUGCCCUUAAAUUACAGAGAACUAACAUUUACUGCAGUUAGCAUAAUGGGUAUCACGCUAGACCUCACCGUGUCUGGCUGUUUCAGCACUUCAAGUCCCUUUGGCCUUGCAGAGGUGAGGUCAGCAUAAGGAGGCAGAUAGACAAGCUAUUUGCUGCAAGUCCUCAAAGGUAUGAUCGUAGAAUGAUUUUAGCUUGACAACAAGAUGUUUGAUCUGCCUUCAAUAACAAGAUGCUUGAUCUUUUCCACAACUGCAAAUUUAAAAUUAAAUGAGUAAAAAAACUAACACUAAAACAAGUAGUGAAAACAUAUUUUCCGAUGCCUAUCUAGCAUGUAGUUUUCUACUUUCAUCUUAAAGACUCCUGGACCAUUGUUCCUCCAGAAAUGCAAAAUCUGCAAACUGGAACCAUAUCUUCAGAAUGACAUAUGAAUGGUGAGCAUUCAAUCAUCAGAAUUCACUCUAAGUUUAGUGUUAAAACCCAAUCUCUUUAGUAGAAUGGGUGAGGUAUUCUAAAUCUGUAUUCUCAUAUACAAAAUCAUACAAAGCAUACAAGCACGUAUUCUCAUAUACAAAAUCAUACAAUUAAAGUGAGUGUACAACAAAAUAUAUCCAAUAACAACCAUGAUCCAUGUGUUUAAAAAAAACAAGCAUGCUCCAUAGACUAUGCAAGCUUACUCCUAGGUAAAAGCAGUGAAAAAAUGUAGUUAGAGUUUGGGUUUCAUAAUGAAAUUUAAGAGAUGCACAUGAAUUUUCAAAAUGGCUAGGAAUAAAAAGGUUGUGGUGAAGAGACAUUGGCAAUUUAGUUUACCCAUGUUCACGUGCUUGCCUCCUAGCAUCAUGGCCUUCUUCUUCUUCCUCUCGCAGCAGGUCAUCCUCUGUCCUGGGGCUCGCCAGCAGCCAGGAAGGAGAGGACAAGGCCUAGGCAGAGCUCGUGCCCACACUCGCGCGGUGGCGGCGAAGAACCCAAAUAAUCGUAGAAGCUAUCUGAAUGUCACCAGAACACAUGUCACAUAUAACCCUUAAAUUAAUGAUCCAAAAAUGGAUGAAAGGAAUAGCUCACCGUAAUUUUAGUCUUUUCCAAUUCUGAGUCCCUUCCUUCCUCUUGCUUCAUUUGGAUCUCCUGUGCAGUACAUACGAUUGGUAAGUUCAUGGCCGAACCCAUGCCUAAGUCAUAAGAUGAGAACCAUUAUUCACAAAAAAAAUAAAAAUAAAUGAUGAACAGUGAUCUUGGACUAUUGACAUAACUGAAUUAAGUU
RNAcentral lists this long non-coding RNA (4050 nucleotides) under Sorghum bicolor (sorghum). RNAcentral's name for it is "long non-coding RNA (SBIC_LNC004700)". The record is from RNAcentral. Lineage: Eukaryota; Viridiplantae; Streptophyta; Magnoliopsida; Poales; Poaceae.